AUCGCUUCUUGGCCCUUUGGCUAAGAUCAAGUGUAGUAUCAGAAAGCUUCAUUCCUACCUACAACUUCUAUUUCUGGGUCUUCAAAAGGAAGAAUCUUU
Molecule: small nuclear RNA, 99 nt
Organism: Heterocephalus glaber (naked mole-rat)
Lineage: Eukaryota; Metazoa; Chordata; Mammalia; Rodentia; Bathyergidae
Gene: U2
Rfam family: U2 spliceosomal RNA
About the family: U2 is a small nuclear RNA (snRNA) component of the spliceosome (involved in pre-mRNA splicing). Complementary binding between U2 snRNA (in an area lying towards the 5' end but 3' to hairpin I) and the branchpoint sequence (BPS) of the intron results the bulging out of an unpaired adenosine, on the BPS, which initiates a nucleophilic attack at the intronic 5' splice site, thus starting the first of two transesterification reactions that mediate splicing.
Source: Ensembl